Molecule: ribosomal RNA, 484 nt
Filed under: uncultured bacterium
Lineage: Bacteria
Description: partial 16S ribosomal RNA
Rfam family: Bacterial small subunit ribosomal RNA
Source: RNAcentral
AUUGAACGUUGGCGGCAGGCCUAACACAUGCAAGUCGAGCGGAUGAAGGGAGCUUGCUCCUGGAUUCAGCGGCGGACGGGUGAGCAAUGCCUAGGAAUCUGCCUGGUAGUGGGGGAUAACGUCCGGAAACGGGCGCUAAUACCGCAUACGUCCUGAGGGAGAAAGUGGGGGAUCUUCGGACCUCACGCUAUCAGAUGAGCCUAGGUCGGAUUAGCUAGUUGGUGGGGUAAAGGCCUACCAAGGCGACGAUCCGUAACUGGUCUGAGAGGAUGAUCAGUCACACUGGAACUGAGACACGGUCCAGACUCCUACGGGAGGCAGCAGUGGGGAAUAUUGGACAAUGGGCGAAAGCCUGAUCCAGCCAUGCCGCGUGUGUGAAGAAGGUCUUCGGAUUGUAAAGCACUUUAAGUUGGGAGGAAGGGCAGUAAGUUAAUACCUUGCUGUUUUGACGUUACCAACAGAAUAAGCACCGGCUAACUUCGUG